This 1158-nucleotide ribosomal RNA is filed under the name Bacillus siamensis. RNAcentral describes it as "bacterial SSU rRNA". It matches the Rfam family "Bacterial small subunit ribosomal RNA", at positions 38 to 1177 of the family's 1533-position model. Lineage: Bacteria; Bacillati; Bacillota; Bacilli; Caryophanales; Bacillaceae. The record is from RNAcentral.
GGCUGGCUCAUAAGUCUAUACUGCAAGUCGAGCGGACAGAUGGGAGCUUGCUCCCUGAUGUUAGCGGCGGACGGGUGAGUAACACGUGGGUAACCUGCCUGUAAGACUGGGAUAACUCCGGGAAACCGGGGCUAAUACCGGAUGGUUGUCUGAACCGCAUGGUUCAGACAUAAAAGGUGGCUUCGGCUACCACUUACAGAUGGACCCGCGGCGCAUUAGCUAGUUGGUGAGGUAACGGCUCACCAAGGCGACGAUGCGUAGCCGACCUGAGAGGGUGAUCGGCCACACUGGGACUGAGACACGGCCCAGACUCCUACGGGAGGCAGCAGUAGGGAAUCUUCCGCAAUGGACGAAAGUCUGACGGAGCAACGCCGCGUGAGUGAUGAAGGUUUUCGGAUCGUAAAGCUCUGUUGUUAGGGAAGAACAAGUGCCGUUCAAAUAGGGCGGCACCUUGACGGUACCUAACCAGAAAGCCACGGCUAACUACGUGCCAGCAGCCGCGGUAAUACGUAGGUGGCAAGCGUUGUCCGGAAUUAUUGGGCGUAAAGGGCUCGCAGGCGGUUUCUUAAGUCUGAUGUGAAAGCCCCCGGCUCAACCGGGGAGGGUCAUUGGAAACUGGGGAACUUGAGUGCAGAAGAGGAGAGUGGAAUUCCACGUGUAGCGGUGAAAUGCGUAGAGAUGUGGAGGAACACCAGUGGCGAAGGCGACUCUCUGGUCUGUAACUGACGCUGAGGAGCGAAAGCGUGGGGAGCGAACAGGAUUAGAUACCCUGGUAGUCCACGCCGUAAACGAUGAGUGCUAAGUGUUAGGGGGUUUCCGCCCCUUAGUGCUGCAGCUAACGCAUUAAGCACUCCGCCUGGGGAGUACGGUCGCAAGACUGAAACUCAAAGGAAUUGACGGGGGCCCGCACAAGCGGUGGAGCAUGUGGUUUAAUUCGAAGCAACGCGAAGAACCUUACCAGGUCUUGACAUCCUCUGACAAUCCUAGAGAUAGGACGUCCCCUUCGGGGGCAGAGUGACAGGUGGUGCAUGGUUGUCGUCAGCUCGUGCCGUGAGAUGUUGGGUUAAGUCCCGCAACGAGCGCAACCCUUGAUCUUAGUUGCCAGCAUUUAGUUGGGCACUCUAAGGGGACUGCCGGUGACAAACGGAAGAAAGUGGG